AGCUGAAACCAGGGGACGAGGUGGCUAACCGUAGCACGCUAGCUCGUUCUGAAUGGCAAACCACAGCUACACACCAGUUCACCAUAAUCUCCAAAAGAACUACUUCCGUGUC
This is a long non-coding RNA of Etheostoma spectabile (orangethroat darter), 112 nucleotides long. RefSeq lists it as uncharacterized. NCBI's taxonomy places the organism in Eukaryota, Metazoa, Chordata, Actinopteri, Perciformes, Percidae. The record is from RefSeq and is a predicted model, not a curated record. The transcript has 3 exons.